UUUGAACGCGAAGAACCUUACCAAGUUUUGACAUGGCCGGAAAACUCAUGGAGACAUGGGUUCCUUCGGGGCCGGUCACAGGUGGUGCAUGGCUGUCGUCAGCUCGUGUCGUGAGAUGUUGGGUUAAGUCCCGCCACGAGCGCAACCCUCGUCCUUUUUUGCCAGCGGGUUAUGCCGGGGACUCAUUGGAGACUGCCGGGGUCAACUCGGAGGAAGAGUGGGGAUGACGUCCAGUCAUCAUGCCCCUUUAUGUCUUGGGCUGCAAACAUGCUACAAUGGCCGGUACAGAGCGCUGCGACAUCGCCAGAUGGAGCGAAAUCGCGGAAAGCCGGUCUCAGUUCGGAUCGGGGUCUGCAACUCGGCCCCGUGAAACGGAAUCGCUAGUAAUCGCGGAUCAACCACGCCGCGGUGAAUACAUUCCCCGGUCUUGUACACACACACAAA
Molecule: ribosomal RNA, 444 nt
Filed under: bacterium CPTAC128
Lineage: Bacteria
Description: bacterial SSU rRNA
Rfam family: Bacterial small subunit ribosomal RNA
Source: RNAcentral